This 497-nucleotide ribosomal RNA is filed under the name uncultured bacterium. RNAcentral describes it as "partial 16S ribosomal RNA". It matches the Rfam family "Bacterial small subunit ribosomal RNA", at positions 28 to 507 of the family's 1533-position model. The record is from RNAcentral.
GAUGAACGCUGGCGGCGUGCUUAACACAUGCAAGUCGAACGGAAAGACGCGGCGCUUGCCUGGCGGACGUUAGACGCGGGCGGGAGAGAAACGCGCGUAUACAGUCCUUGUAAGUAAGGGAUCACAAGGGGAACUAGGAGCUCAUACGAUAUAUGAUUUUGAACCGCGGGGUGCAAUGGUGAGCGCCGGUUGUGCUGGCACUUAUAGAUGAUUCCGAGCCGGAUUAGCUAGUUGGUAAGGUAAAGGCUUACCAAGGCAACGAUGCGUAGCCGGCCUGAGAGGGUGAUCGGCCACACUGGAACUGAGACACGGCCCAGACUCCUACGGGAGGCAGCAGUAGGGAAUCUUGGGCAAUGGGCGAAAGCCUGACGGAGCAACGCCGCGUGAGUGAUGAAGGCCUUCGGAUCGUAAAACUCUGUUAUGAGGGAAGAACAGAUUUGGAAGUAAACAUGGACGUAUUGACGGUACCGAAUCAGAAAGCCCCGGCUAACUACGUG